AGAGUUUGAUCCUGGCUCAGAGUGAACGCUGGCGGCGUGCCUAAUACAUGCAAGUCGAACGAUGAAGCUUCUAGCUUGCUAGAGUGCUGAUUAGUGGCGCACGGGUGAGUAACGCAUAGGUCAUGUGCCUCUUAGUUUGGGAUAGCCAUUGGAAACGAUGAUUAAUACCAGAUACUCCCUACGGGGGAAAGAUUUAUCGCUAAGAGAUCAGCCUAUGUCCUAUCAGCUUGUUGGUAAGGUAAUGGCUUACCAAGGCUAUGACGGGUAUCCGGCCUGAGAGGGUGAACGGACACACUGGAACUGAGACACGGUCCAGACUCCUACGGGAGGCAGCAGUAGGGAAUAUUGCUCAAUGGGGGAAACCCUGAAGCAGCAACGCCGCGUGGAGGAUGAAGGUUUUAGGAUUGUAAACUCCUUUUGUUAGAGAAGAUAAUGACGGUAUCUAACGAAUAAGCACCGGCUAACUCCGUGCCAGCAGCCGCGGUAAUACGGAGGGUGCAAGCGUUACUCGGAAUCACUGGGCGUAAAGAGCGCGUAGGCGGGAUAGUCAGUCAGGUGUGAAAUCCUAUGGCUUAACCAUAGAACUGCAUUUGAAACUACUAUUCUAGAGUGUGGGAGAGGUAGGUGGAAUUCUUGGUGUAGGGGUAAAAUCCGUAGAGAUCAAGAGGAAUACUCAUUGCGAAGGCGACCUGCUGGAACAUUACUGACGCUGAUUGCGCGAAAGCGUGGGGAGCAAACAGGAUUAGAUACCCUGGUAGUCCACGCCCUAAACGAUGGAUGCUAGUUGUUGGAGGGCUUAGUCUCUCCAGUAAUGCAGCUAACGCAUUAAGCAUCCCGCCUGGGGAGUACGGUCGCAAGAUUAAAACUCAAAGGAAUAGACGGGGACCCGCACAAGCGGUGGAGCAUGUGGUUUAAUUCGAAGAUACACGAAGAACCUUACCUAGGCUUGACAUUGAGAGAAUCCGCUAGAAAUAGUGGAGUGUCUAGCUUGCUAGACCUUGAAAACAGGUGCUGCACGGCUGUCGUCAGCUCGUGUCGUGAGAUGUUGGGUUAAGUCCCGCAACGAGCGCAACCCCCUUUCUUAGUUGCUAACAGGUCAUGCUGAGAACUCUAAGGAUACUGCCUCCGUAAGGAGGAGGAAGGUGGGGACGACGUCAAGUCAUCAUGGCCCUUACGCCUAGGGCUACACACGUGCUACAAUGGGGUGCACAAAGAGAAGCAAUACUGCGAAGUGGAGCCAAUCUUCAAAACGCCUCUCAGUUCGGAUUGUAGGCUGCAACUCGCCUGCAUGAAGCUGGAAUCGCUAGUAAUCGCAAAUCAGCCAUGUUGCGGUGAAUACGUUCCCGGGUCUUGUACUCACCGCCCGUCACACCAUGGGAGUUGUGUUUGCCUUAAGUCAGGAUGCUAAAUUGGCUACUGCCCACGGCACACACAGCGACUGGGGUGAAGUCGUAACAAGGUAACCGUAGGUGAACCUGCGGUUG
This 1484-nucleotide ribosomal RNA is filed under the name Helicobacter pylori. RNAcentral describes it as "bacterial SSU rRNA". It matches the Rfam family "Bacterial small subunit ribosomal RNA". RNAcentral also lists the same sequence under 2 other names. Lineage: Bacteria; Pseudomonadati; Campylobacterota; Epsilonproteobacteria; Campylobacterales; Helicobacteraceae. The record is from RNAcentral.